Molecule: ribosomal RNA, 989 nt
Filed under: uncultured archaeon
Lineage: Archaea
Description: bacterial SSU rRNA
Rfam family: Archaeal small subunit ribosomal RNA
Source: RNAcentral
UCCGGUUGAUCCUGCCGGACCCGACUGCUAUCAGAGUGGGACUAAGCCAUGCGAGUCAUUGUAGCAAUACAAGGCGGACGGCUCAGUAACACGUAGUCAACCUAACUCGUGGACGUGGAUAACCUCGGGAAACUGAGAAUAAACCACGAUAGAUCAUAGUGCCUGGAAUGGCUUAUGGUCCAAACAGUUUACUGCCAUGGGAUGGGACUGCGGCCUAUCAGCUUGUUGGUGAGGUAAUGGCCCACCAAGGCGAUUACAGGUACGGGCUCUGAGAGGGGAAGCCCGGAGAUGGGUACUGAGACACGGACCCAGGCCCUAUGGGGCGCAGCAGGCGAGAAACCUUAGCAAUGUGCGAAAGCACGACUGGGUCAGUCCGAGUGAUUCCUGAUAAAGGAGUCUUUUGCUUGUCCUAAAAGCACAGGUGAAUAAGGGGUGGGCAAGUCUGGUGUCAGCCGCCGCGGUAAUACCAGCACCUCGAGUGGUCAGGACGUUUAUUGGGCCUAAAGCAUCCGUAGCCGGCUUUGCAAGUCUUCGGUUAAAUCCACCUGCUCAACAGAUGGGCCGCUGGAGAUACUACAGAGCUAGGGAGUGGGAGAGGCAGACGGUAUUCAGUGGGUAGGGGUAAAAUCCUCUGAUCCAUUGAGGACCACCAGUGGCGAAGGCGGUCUGCCAGAACACGUUCGACGGUGAGGGAUGAAAGCUGGGGGAGCAAACCGGAUUAGAUACCCGGGUAGUCCCAGCUGUAAACGAUGCAAACUCGGUGAUGCAUUGGCUUAUGGCCAAUGCAGUGCCGCAGGGAAGCCGUUAAGUUUGCCGCCUGGGAAGUACGGACGCAAGUCUGAAACUUAAAGGAAUUGGCGGGGGAGCACCACAAGGGGUGAAGCCUGCGGUUCAAUUGGAGUCAACGCCAGGAAUCUUACCCGGGGAGACAGCAGAAUGAAGGUCAAGCUGAAGACUUUACCAGACAAGCUGAGAGGUGGUGCAUGGCC